RNAcentral lists this ribosomal RNA (202 nucleotides) under uncultured bacterium. Its description in RNAcentral is "partial 16S ribosomal RNA". It matches the Rfam family "Bacterial small subunit ribosomal RNA", at positions 524 to 723 of the family's 1533-position model. The record is from RNAcentral.
UACGUAGGGUGCGAGCGUUGUCCGGAAUUAUUGGGCGUAAAGGGCUCGUAGGCGGUCUGUCGCGUCGGGAGUGAAAACUCAGGGCUUAACCCUGAGCCUGCUUCCGAUACGGGCAGACUAGAGGUAUGCAGGGGAGAACGGAAUUCCUGGUGUAGCGGUGGAAUGCGGCAGAAUAUCAGGAGGAACACCGGUGGCGAAGGCG